AGUACGCACUAUUGCGCCACGUCAUAUUCGUGAUAAAGUAGUGUUGCAAAUGAAAUAGAUGAUGUUCUUUUGAAGAAAUCCGAUAAAGAAGAAAUUCUUAGAAAGAUAUUUUGAAAAGCACCUAAUAAAGCAAAGGAAGAAUUGAAUGAACAACUAACACAUUUCCAGCAAAAAAGAACCGCAGGAUUGGCCACAAUCUUUGGCCCGAUCGAUAUUUCGCUGGAUAAAAGCAUAUCUGACAAAACUCGUAUCAUCAACAUUGUCUGGAAUAAAUAGUCAAACUUUUUCUCAGGAUGCCAAUUUGAGCGCUUCAAAUGUGCUCACCAAACACCAAAGAACAAAGUCGAGUCCGGAACAAUUAAGAACUACAGUGAUAUUUCCGUUAGAAGCUAGUAGACGCUUGAUCGCAUUUAAAUUGAUGAACGAUCUAUCACCUCCAAGACAUUUCAGACACAAUGAUAUCGAAAUCAAUGAAUUACCGCAUAUUACACCACCAGGGACACCAUCGCCAUCAUAUCCAGCUCCCAUUUUAGGACAAGAUAUCUUUUUGUCUACGCCAAACGAUGUA
This is a long non-coding RNA of Camponotus floridanus (Florida carpenter ant), 568 nucleotides long. RefSeq lists it as uncharacterized. The record is from RefSeq and is a predicted model, not a curated record. NCBI's taxonomy places the organism in Eukaryota, Metazoa, Arthropoda, Insecta, Hymenoptera, Formicidae. The transcript is spliced from 3 exons.